This 250-nucleotide ribosomal RNA is filed under the name uncultured archaeon. RNAcentral's name for it is "partial 16S ribosomal RNA". It matches the Rfam family "Archaeal small subunit ribosomal RNA", at positions 734 to 982 of the family's 1478-position model. The record is from RNAcentral.
UACCCCUGUAGUCCAGGGUGUAAACGGCUGCAGACUUGGUGUUGGGAACCCUUCGGGGGUGCUCAGUGCCGGAGAGAAGUUGUUAAGUCUGCUACUUGGGGAGUACGUCCGCAAGGAUGAAACUUAAAGGAAUUGGCGGGGGAGCACCGCAACGGGAGGAGCGUGCGGUUUAAUUGGAUUCAACGCCGAAAACUCACCAGCAGCGACUGUUACAUGAAAGUCAGGUUGAAUGACCUUACUAGAUUUUCAG